Molecule: unclassified non-coding RNA, 298 nt
Filed under: Hevea brasiliensis (rubber tree)
Lineage: Eukaryota; Viridiplantae; Streptophyta; Magnoliopsida; Malpighiales; Euphorbiaceae
Source: RNAcentral
GAUACCAUUGGCAUCAACCUCAAAAGUUACUUCAAUUUGAGGUGUUCCUCUUGGUGCUGGAGGUAUUCCUGUCAAAUCAAACUUCCCCAGUAGUCUACAGUCCUUUACCAUACUGCGUUCACCUUCAAAGACCGAAAUUGUGACGGUUGUCUGCUGGUCCUGGUAAGUGGUGAAGACUUGAGACUUCUUAGUAGGAAUGACAGUGUUUCUUGGGAUCAACUUUGUCAUCACUCCUCCAACAGUUUCAAUACCAAGAGUCAGUGGAGCAACAUCCAAGAGAAGAAUAUCUUUGGUUUCA